AAUCAACGCUGGCGGCGUGCCUAACACAUGCAAGUCGAACGCGAAAGCCCUUUCGGGGGUAAGUAGAGUGGCGUCCGGGUGAGUAACACGUGGGUAAUCUGCCUCCGGGUGGGGAAUAACCAGUCGAAAGAUUGGCUAAUACCGCAUAAUGCAGCGGCACCUAAUGGUGAUUAGUUGUUAAAGAGGGGGACCCUUCGGGGCCUCGCGCCUGGAGAGGAGCCUGCGGCAGAUUAGCAGUUGGUGAGGUAACGGCUCACCAAGGCUUCGAUCUGUAGCUGGUCUGAGAGGACGGCCAGCCACACUGGCACUGACACACGGGCCAGACUCCUACGGGAGGCAGCAGUGGGAAUUUUGGGCAAUGGGCGAAAGCCUGACCCAGCAACGCCGCGUGAGGGAGGAAAUCCUUCGGGAUGUAAACCUCACAAGCAAGGGAAGAGCGCUACGGGCUGAAUAAU
RNAcentral lists this ribosomal RNA (455 nucleotides) under uncultured bacterium. RNAcentral's name for it is "bacterial SSU rRNA". It matches the Rfam family "Bacterial small subunit ribosomal RNA", at positions 32 to 468 of the family's 1533-position model. The record is from RNAcentral.